RNAcentral lists this RNase P RNA (418 nucleotides) under Hallella multisaccharivorax DSM 17128. RNAcentral's name for it is "Prevotella multisaccharivorax DSM 17128 Bacterial RNase P class A". It matches the Rfam family "Bacterial RNase P class A". Rfam says of the family: Ribonuclease P (RNase P) is a ubiquitous endoribonuclease, found in archaea, bacteria and eukarya as well as chloroplasts and mitochondria. Lineage: Bacteria; Pseudomonadati; Bacteroidota; Bacteroidia; Bacteroidales; Prevotellaceae. The record is from Rfam by way of RNAcentral.
ACAGUGCCCCGGCCUGUCGCUGGCAUCCGCAAGAGUGCAAGAGGAAAGUCCGGGCAGCGCAAGGCGCUCCACUUCUGAAAAUGGAAGCUGCCGGUAACGGUAGGUGAAGGUAGAAGAAAACAACCGCCAUUCUGUGAAACUGCAGGCAUCCUAUGAUCCUGUAAGUCGGAAGAGGCAAGGGUGAGAAGGUGGUGCAAGAGACCACCAGCCGGCGGGUGACCGCCGUGGCUGUACCGUCUGGAGGCUGCAAGUUCGCGUAAACCAUCGUCAUGUCCAGGGCCGCCUGCCCGAUGCUUCCUCGAAAGCAACGAUGGAGGGUAGAAUGCUGAAGCUGUAGGGUGACUUACAGAUUAGAUAAAUGACAAGGCUCCUCACCAUAGUGAGGGUACAGAACCCGGCUUAUCAGGGCACUGUCUUA